Molecule: long non-coding RNA, 417 nt
Filed under: Glycine max (soybean)
Lineage: Eukaryota; Viridiplantae; Streptophyta; Magnoliopsida; Fabales; Fabaceae
Description: long non-coding RNA (GMAX_LNC002427)
Source: RNAcentral
UGGGAUAAGAUGGUUGGCUUGGGUUUGAAGCCAAAUAUUGUUACUUUUAAUGCUCUAAUUAAUGGGUUUUGUAAGAAGAAGAUGAUUAAGGAAGCAAGAAAACUCUUCGAUGAUAUAGCUGAACAAGAUUUGGUUCCCAAUGCAAUAACAUUCAAUACAAUGAUUGAUGCAUUCUGCAAAGCCGGGAUGAUGGAAGAAGGAUUUGCACUGUGUAAUUCAAUGCUAGAUGAAGGCAUUUUUCCAAAUGUUUCAACCUAUAAUUGCUUAAUUGCAGGGUUGUGCAGAAACCAGAAUGUAAGAGCUGCAAAGAAGCUUCUUAAUGAAAUGGAGAACUAUGAAUUGAAAUUUUUCCAAAUGUUUCCACCUAUAAUUGCUUAAUUGCAGGGUUGUGCAGAAACCAGAAUGUAAGAGCUGCAA